UAUAAUUUCCAUACUGCUUCUAUUGUUGCUAUUCUCUUAGCACAAGCUAAUUUACAAACUGUACUAAUUCAGUUCUCUUUAGCAGCAUGCUGAAGCCAAGUUUCAUCCAUUCAUGGAACACAGGCUGGAAGAAAACCUGUCAAUAACUGGUCUUUCACCUUUUUGCCAUGUGCAAUGCAGAAUAGCAGGAAGAGGUACUAGCCACAUCAUUGUCAUAUCUGGAAAAAACAAAGUCACUGCGUUCAUGUUCUCCUAUAUUUUCUGUAAGACAUUAAUGCAAAGACAGGUAAGUAUUUAAGGGAACAAAACUGGAAAGGCUCCAUCAGCAUGUCCCAUUUCAGGCAAUAACUUCACAUCAUCCUAUGAAUAAAUUUCCAAGUGCCAAUCUUAAAAACAGCUGAGCUGUGCCUUAUUCCUUCAUGAUUCCUGUUGCCCAGGGGCUGAAUCUUCUGAGAGGGAAAUCUUUCUCAUCUGCAAUCUAACUGUGUAUGUAACCAGUUUAGAUUCACCUAUUCUCCCCACAUUACUCUAGACCUUAAAGAGCGCUUUUCUUCGGCUAAUGUUUAACCUGCAGUGUAUUUAUAGCUUGUUAUCAUAUUUCUUUCCAAACAUUUCACUAUGCUGAGCAAGCCAGCGUCUUCUCCCCUCCUCUCACAUAACUGCCAUAUUCUGCACCAUAUUCAAUUAAUCUUUAUGAACAUGGGAGACCUCACACACAGUAAUCCAAGACAUUUUACAAUGUGAUUUCCCUAGCCAUUCAACUGUAUUUUAUGUGGUGUUUACUCCACUGAAGAAUGAGGGUGAGCAAAGACAAAAGUUACACUGCGU
Pezoporus flaviventris is the source of this 828-nucleotide long non-coding RNA. RefSeq lists it as uncharacterized. The record is from RefSeq and is a predicted model, not a curated record. The transcript is spliced from 3 exons. Lineage: Eukaryota; Metazoa; Chordata; Aves; Psittaciformes; Psittacidae.